This 114-nucleotide small nucleolar RNA is filed under the name Sorex araneus (European shrew). Lineage: Eukaryota; Metazoa; Chordata; Mammalia; Eulipotyphla; Soricidae. The record is from RNAcentral.
CCAGAGGAAUUUUCCUAAAUACUCACGUAGCUGGAAAUGUCUCAUAGAGUCACGUGGCUUUGCUUUACUCACGGAACUAUUUGUUAGAUCUGUGGAAAGAACUGCAGGACAGUA